Molecule: ribosomal RNA, 404 nt
Filed under: uncultured eukaryote
Lineage: Eukaryota
Description: SSU rRNA
Rfam family: Eukaryotic small subunit ribosomal RNA
Source: RNAcentral
UAAUCCCGACUUCGGAAGGGAUGUAUUUAUUAGAUUAAAAACCAAUGCCCUUCGGGGCUCUCUGGUGAUUCAUAAUAACUUCUCGAAUCGCACGGCCUUGCGCCGGCGAUGGUUCAUUCAAAUUUCUGCCCUAUCAACUUUCGACGGCUGGGUCUUGGCCAGCCAUGGUGACAACGGGUAACGGAGGGUUAGGGCUCGACCCCGGAGAAGGAGCCUGAGAAACGGCUACUACAUCCAAGGAAGGCAGCAGGCGCGCAAAUUACCCAAUCCCGACUCGGGGAGGUAGUGACAAUAAAUACUGAUACAGGGCUCUUUUGGGUCUUGUAAUUGGAAUGAGUACAAUUUAAAUCCCUUAACGAGGAACAAUUGGAGGGCAAGUCUGGUAAUCGAAUCCCGCGGCCGCC